Molecule: ribosomal RNA, 320 nt
Filed under: uncultured eukaryote
Lineage: Eukaryota
Description: partial 18S ribosomal RNA
Rfam family: Eukaryotic small subunit ribosomal RNA
Source: RNAcentral
CCCCUAGAUGUUCUGGGCCGCACGCGCGCUACACUGAACAGUUCAACAAGUCUUAACCUUGGCCGAUAGGUCUGGGUAAUCUUUGAACGCUGUUCGUGACUGGGAUAGACCUUUGCAAUUAUGGGUCUUCAACGAGGAAUUCCUAGUAAACGCAAGUCAUCAGCUUGCAUUGAUUACGUCCCUGCCCUUUGUACACACCGCCCGUCGCACCUACCGAUUGAAUGGUCCGGUGAAAUCUCGGGACGGCGGCUUGGUCGCUUGCGUCCGACUGCUGAAACUUGAUUAAACCAUAUCAUUUAGAGGAAGGUGAAGUCGUANCA